UGAACCCCGGUAUCUAGAG
This 19-nucleotide unclassified non-coding RNA is filed under the name Mus musculus (house mouse). RNAcentral describes it as "oocyte_clustered_small_RNA3290". The record is from RNAcentral. Lineage: Eukaryota; Metazoa; Chordata; Mammalia; Rodentia; Muridae.